This 521-nucleotide ribosomal RNA is filed under the name uncultured Campylobacter sp. Its description in RNAcentral is "bacterial SSU rRNA". It matches the Rfam family "Bacterial small subunit ribosomal RNA", at positions 603 to 1119 of the family's 1533-position model. The record is from RNAcentral. Lineage: Bacteria; Pseudomonadati; Campylobacterota; Epsilonproteobacteria; Campylobacterales; Campylobacteraceae.
UAUGGCUUAACCAUAGAACUGCUUGGGAAACUGAUAAUCUAGAGUGAGGGAGAGGCAGAUGGAAUUGGUGGUGUAGGGGUAAAAUCCGUAGAGAUCACCAGGAAUACCCAUUGCGAAGGCGAUCUGCUGGAACUCAACUGACGCUAAUGCGUGAAAGCGUGGGGAGCAAACAGGAUUAGAUACCCUGGUAGUCCACGCCCUAAACGAUGUAUACUAGUUGUUGCUAAGCUAGUCUUGGCAGUAAUGCACCUAACGGAUUAAGUAUACCGCCUGGGGAGUACGGUCGCAAGAUUAAAACUCAAAGGAAUAGACGGGGACCCGCACAAGCGGUGGAGCAUGUGGUUUAAUUCGAAGAUACGCGAAGAACCUUACCCGGACUUGAUAUCUAACAAAUCAUCUAGAGAUAGAAGAGUGUCUGCUUGCAGAAAUGUUAAGACAGGUGCUGCACGGCUGUCGUCAGCUCGUGUCGUGAGAUGUUGGGUUAAGUCCCGCAACGAGCGCAACCCACGUCAUUAGUUGCU